This 215-nucleotide unclassified non-coding RNA is filed under the name Hevea brasiliensis (rubber tree). The record is from RNAcentral. Lineage: Eukaryota; Viridiplantae; Streptophyta; Magnoliopsida; Malpighiales; Euphorbiaceae.
CAUGGAAAAUUUAAGCAUGGGAAGUUUGGCAAGCGGUGGAAGCAUGGAAUGUUUGGAAAGCACAAGGGCAAACUCUUUAAGAGAUGGAAGUGAUUCUUACCUAUUUGACUCCCUCUCUUAUUAUACAUGCACCAGCUUUCUCCCAUAUCUGAUUUGGCUAUUCAGAGAUUGCUUUCUGUUUCUCCUAAUGAAUCUACAUUCAGUUUAGUAAUCGC